UGAGGAAUAUUGCGCAAUGGGGGCAACCCUGACGCAGCAACGCCGCGUGAGUGAGGAAGGUUUUCGGACCGUAAAGCUCUGUCGAGCGGGAAGAAAUGCAUGGUGGCUAAUAUCCAUCAUGCUUGACGGUACCGCUAAAGGAAGCACCGGCUAACUCCGUGCCAGCAGCCGCGGUAAUACGGGGGGUGCGAGCGUUGUUCGGAAUUAUUGGGCGUAAAGAGCGUGUAGGCGGCCGAAUAAGUCAGAUGUGAAACCCCUGGGCUUAACCCAGGACGUGCAUUUGAAACUAUUCGGCUGGAGUAGGGGAGAGGAAAGUGGAAUUCCUGGUGUAGAGGUGAAAUUCGUAGAUAUCAGGAGGAACACCGGUGGCGAAGGCGACUUUCUGGCCCUAUACUGACGCUGAGACGCGAGAGCGUGGGUAGCAAACGG
This 429-nucleotide ribosomal RNA is filed under the name uncultured bacterium. RNAcentral describes it as "bacterial SSU rRNA". It matches the Rfam family "Bacterial small subunit ribosomal RNA", at positions 355 to 775 of the family's 1533-position model. The record is from RNAcentral.